AUACUUACCUGGUAGAGGAGAAUACCAUGAUCCCAAUGGUAUUUUUCCUGAGGUGAGGCUUGUCCAUUGCUCUCUGGAUGUGUGAACCACCUUAUAUUAUGUCUGUCACCUUAAUAGAUCGUAUUCAA
This 128-nucleotide small nuclear RNA is filed under the name Spermophilus dauricus (Daurian ground squirrel). RNAcentral's name for it is "U1 spliceosomal RNA (ENSSDAG00000015900.1)". It matches the Rfam family "U1 spliceosomal RNA", at positions 1 to 122 of the family's 166-position model. Rfam says of the family: U1 is a small nuclear RNA (snRNA) component of the spliceosome (involved in pre-mRNA splicing). Its 5' end forms complementary base pairs with the 5' splice junction, thus defining the 5' donor site of an intron. Lineage: Eukaryota; Metazoa; Chordata; Mammalia; Rodentia; Sciuridae. The record is from RNAcentral.